AUGGAGCCCCUGGAGGCCAGGAAGGGUGCAUCCUCCCAAGUGGCUGCACAAAUUCCACAGGGAGCAAGGACCCACUCACUACCCAGCAGCCCGUGUGUGUGUGUGCAUGCACACAGCUGCACACCCGUGUGUGUGAUCAUCCUGGGAAUCUUCCCUGAAAUUUCGAUGACAGUGGGCCUUCCCCGGUGGAUGCGUCUUUCAUCUCCAUGCUGCGUUCUCAUCCCUGCUCACAACCCACAGUGUUCCAGGAGGCUUCAGCGUGAGCUCGGAGGUCAGCAGGUCAUCUUCAACCCCUGUACAGUUUCCUAUGGCUGCUGUGACAAUUACCACAAUUGCAGUGGCUUAAAGCAACACGUGUUAUCUCACAGUUCUGGAGGUCGGGAAUCGGACACCAUCUCACCGGGCUACAGUUGAGGUGGCAGCGGGGCUGGGUGCUGCUGGAGGCUCCAGGAAAAACCCUUGCCCUUUCCAGCUUCCAGAGGCUGCCCAUGCUCCUUGGCUCAUAGCUCCUCCUCCAUCUCAAGCCAACUGCACGUCCCUCCGACCUCUGCAUCUGCUUGGCUCCCCCGCCUCCUCCUCCACUUAUAAGCACACCUGUGAUGAUGCUGGGCCCGCUGGACAGUCCAGGGCCAUCUCUUCAUCUCAGGGUUCCUUAACCUUCAUGCCUGAAAAGUCCCCUUUGCAGUGGAGGUCACACUGUCAAGGGUGACAGGGGUUAGGAUGGGGCAUCUUUAGGGGAGGCGUGAUUCUGCUGACCACAGCAUCCCUCUUUCCCUCAUUUCACAUCCACUCAGUUCAGAACCCUGCUGGCUCUACCCCGCCGUCACCACUGGGGCUGAAGCCACAUCACGUCUCCCCAGAGGACUACCCUGGCUCCUUGUUGGCCUCCUGACUUCCAUCGUGGUCUCUCUCCAGUCUCUUCUCACCCCAGCAGCCAGGCCGACCCUGGGAAAAUGUGAGACCAAGCCUCCCACUAGUUCCUGCCUUCGAGGAAAAUCAAAAUGCUUCCAGUGGCCGAAGAGGUCCAACCCCGUCUGCCCAUCCUCCCAGUUCCCUCUGCUCCAGCCCCACGGGCCUCUGCGCCCUCCUGCCUCGGAGCCUUUGCACUGGCUGCUCCCUCUUCCUGGGCUGCCUUGCCCUGUACCUCUGUAAU
This is a long non-coding RNA of Papio anubis (olive baboon), 1153 nucleotides long. The record is from Ensembl. NCBI's taxonomy places the organism in Eukaryota, Metazoa, Chordata, Mammalia, Primates, Cercopithecidae.